AACGUAGGUUCCGAGCGUUAUCCGGAUUUACUGGGCGUAAAGCGCGUUCAGGCGGUUUGGCAAGUCGGGCAUGAAAUCCUUCGGCUCAACCGGGGGAGGUUGUCCGAUACUGCUGAACUGGAGGGCAGUAGAGGGUGGUGGAAUUCCGGGUGUAGUGGUGAAAUGCGUAGAGAUCCGGAGGAACACCAGUGGCGAAAGCGGCCACCUGGACAGUGACUGACGCUGAGACGCGAAAGCGUGGGGAGCAAACAGG
This 253-nucleotide ribosomal RNA is filed under the name uncultured bacterium. Its description in RNAcentral is "partial 16S ribosomal RNA". It matches the Rfam family "Bacterial small subunit ribosomal RNA", at positions 524 to 776 of the family's 1533-position model. The record is from RNAcentral.